This is a long non-coding RNA of Ornithodoros turicata, 480 nucleotides long. RefSeq lists it as uncharacterized. The transcript has 2 exons. Lineage: Eukaryota; Metazoa; Arthropoda; Arachnida; Ixodida; Argasidae. The record is from RefSeq and is a predicted model, not a curated record.
UCCACCAGCUGUCGCCACGUUCAAGUUAAUGUUGCAGAGAGCUGUACUUGAUAGUAUUUAGUGCAGGGAGAGAAGCCAGAGGGAUGAAAAGUUUGCAUUAUGAUGUUAUGAAUGUCAUGGAUGAGUACUUCUGGUGAAGAACAACAACGAAAAGAGGAAUAUUUAUGCCAGUAUUUUCCCCUUUUCUCGUUUAGACACAGUGAGCUGUUGGGCAGCAUGUCAUUUGCGAUGGAGAAGGUCCUUAGAUGUGUGCAGUCUGCCAGGGGGUGGUACAGACUUCUGAAGCAGGGCCCUGGAGCAAAAGGGGCGUUGCGACAGUGCCUUUAACAACAGCACGGAAUGCCCACCAUCAGUAGAUGCUUUUACAGUACCUAAUUCAAAAAUGUGCAAUUUGGAAGUGCUUUCUCACUCAUGUUCCGUAAACACACAUGGAGUUUCCAGUCAAUCGUUGUAUGGCGUACAAUAAACUGCUAGACUCUC